Molecule: long non-coding RNA, 510 nt
Organism: Pecten maximus
Lineage: Eukaryota; Metazoa; Mollusca; Bivalvia; Pectinida; Pectinidae
Exons: 3
Source: RefSeq, a predicted model, not a curated record
AACAGGGUCCCCACGAUACAGCCUCACACAGGAGUUUCCUAAAGAGCCAGACUGUCUAUCAGAUAUUGAAACCCUGGGCUCCUCCAUAGGCUGAGGACAAGUCAACACUAGAUACACUGAAUUGGACGUGUGGAAUACCAGAAAGGGUUUAAUAUACCUAUGUUGUGAUUAACACCAUUUCACUAGUGUAUCACCUUGUCCAACACUAACAAGUUUUACUUCCUGUUACUUCGCCAGCUGUUAAAGAUUGGAUGGACGGAUUGACAAGACUCAGUAACAGUUUGAGAUGGAUGAUGGCGGUAUACACCUGAAGACGCUUGGUUCCAUAGCGACCAGUGACAGUGACUCUACACGGGAGUAUACCUGAGAGGCCCCCAACCACCUGAUUCCCUCCUACCUGUUGAUUACCAGGUCCACACCUGAGAUGUUUUGUAAGUAAACACUCUACUCGCCUGCCUGGCUGAGCCAAGUGCCAGUAGUCUCUGUCAAGGUGUCACAUCAAAGUUUCAA